RNAcentral lists this ribosomal RNA (468 nucleotides) under uncultured bacterium. Its description in RNAcentral is "partial 16S ribosomal RNA". It matches the Rfam family "Bacterial small subunit ribosomal RNA", at positions 28 to 507 of the family's 1533-position model. The record is from RNAcentral.
GACGAACGCUGGCGGCGUGCUUAAUACAUGCAAGUCGAACGGAAAGGCCCUGCUCUUGUGGGGUUCUCGAGUGGCGAAAGGGUGAGUAUCACGUGAGUAAACUGCCCUUGACUUUGGGGUAACUUCAGGAAACUGGGGCGAAUAUCGGAUAUGAGCUCCUGCUGCAUGGUGGGGGUUGGAAAGUUUCGGCGGUUGGGGAUGGACUCGCGGCUUAUCAGCGUGUUGGUGGGGUAGUGGCUUACCAAGGCUUUGACGGGUAGCCGGCCUGAGAGGGUGACCGGCCACAUUGGGACUGAGAUACGGCCCAUACUCCUACGGGAGGCAGCAGUGGGGAAUAUUGCACAAUGGGCGGAAGCCUGAUGCAGCAACGCCGCGUGCUGGAUGACUGCCUUCGGGUUGUAAACCGCUUUCGCCUGUGACGAAGCGUGAGUGACGGUAAUGGGUAAAGAAGCACCGGCUAACUACGUG